GAUGAACGCUGGCGGCGUGCUUAACACAUGCAAGUCGAACGGAAUGGCCUUGUUUUUUUUGGUUACUGGCGGGGGGAACGGGAGCGCAUCACGUCUGUAACCUGCCCCUGACACUAGGCUAACUUCAGGAAACUGGUGUUAAUACCGGAUAUGACUUCCUAGUGCAUGGGGGGGAUUGGAACGUUUCGCCGGUUGGGGAUGGACUCGGCGGUCAUCAGCUUGGUGGGGGGGUAGUGGCUUACCAAGGCUUUGGCGGGGAGCCGGCCUGGGGGGGUGACCGGCCACAUUGGGACUGGGGUACGGCCCAGACUCCUACGGGAGGCAGCCGGGGAGAAUAUUGCGAAAUGGGCGGAAGCCUUAUGCAGCAACGCCGCGUGCGGGAUGACGGCCUUCGGGUGGUAAACCGCUUUCGCCUGUGACGAAGCGUGAGUGACGGUAAUGGGUAAAGAAGGACCGGCUAACUACGUG
This 468-nucleotide ribosomal RNA is filed under the name uncultured bacterium. RNAcentral describes it as "partial 16S ribosomal RNA". It matches the Rfam family "Bacterial small subunit ribosomal RNA", at positions 28 to 507 of the family's 1533-position model. The record is from RNAcentral.